CCGGCGCCGAUGAGAUCGUUCACCUGGAAGGAUGAAUGGGUGAUAUGAGUAUUCAGUAUCCACACGGUGAAGCGCCGGUGCAUUCUUUUGUAAGAAAGUUUCAUAGCUCAGGUGGCUAGUGCGUGGUGGUGUUGGUUGUGAGGUUCGAGGCCUCGUGGGAUGACUUUUUUUUUUCAGCGCCUAGUUUUGUCCAGGGGCAAUCAUGUCAAAUUUUCUUCUCCUAGCCCAGAACAUCAAUCUUUGUAAAAACGGCAAUGUUACCCAAAACGGGAAGUACGUAGAUCUGUCCCUGCUUGUUUGUUUUAACUUAAAGAACAUGAAUUACAUCUUGCAAAUUGUUGCAAUCUACAGACCAAGGGAAGUAACAUGUUUGGAUUGAA
Molecule: long non-coding RNA, 380 nt
Organism: Sorghum bicolor (sorghum)
Lineage: Eukaryota; Viridiplantae; Streptophyta; Magnoliopsida; Poales; Poaceae
Exons: 2
Source: RefSeq, a predicted model, not a curated record